Pelobates cultripes (western spadefoot toad) is the source of this 217-nucleotide non-coding RNA. The record is from the annotation of a GenBank genome assembly. Lineage: Eukaryota; Metazoa; Chordata; Amphibia; Anura; Pelobatidae.
GGGAGAGUCACAUGGAUGGAAGAGGGGACAUUUACAUGGCAGGAAGAUGGAGAGUGGGGAGUGAGACACGGAAGGAAGGGGCAAAGAGAAACAUGUAAGGAAGGGGAAGUUAGACACGGGAGGAAGGGAGAUACGGAGAGACAUGAAAGGAGGGGAUGUCUGAGUAUGUGUCUGUGAGUGUGUGUUUCUGUCUGUGGAUGAGUCGAUAGAUUUGCAU